GUUUGAGAACCUCUGAUGCACAGAAUCUGAAGGUGCAGCAGAGCAGUGAAUAGUGUCCAAGUUGACAAGGGUAUCUAUCCUUCCCUUGCUGCCAGCCUUAUUCCUCAGAGUGAUUACAGCUACAAUGGCACUCUUUCGCUUGUGGGAUUCAUUUGAAUGAACUAUAAGCCCCAAUUCUCUGCACGAUCACUUUUCAGUACUGAGCCAAAAAAAGGAUGGGGCACCUAAGAACAGCCCAAUUGUUACAGCAUUAUUACCAACAAAUAUUGACAAAUAAAACACACUAAAAGGCAAUUCUGUUCUAUAAAGUCACCAAGUUUUAAUCAAAUCAGUCCAGUCAUUUUGGAGAUGUUGUGCUAUUUAGUAUUAUGUUUUUCUAAUGCUGAUAUAUAUCAAAAUGUCCUUUUCUAUCAGAUGCCUACUGCCCCAGAUGUGCAAUCCUGCCACAUUUCAUUUUUUAACUGAACAGGAAAUGGUGUUUUGGUUGAUGAGUGAGUGAGCCAGUCACUCAGUCAACUUCGUAUUAUUUAUAUAUGUAGAUAUUAGCUAUCAAAGACUGCACACC
Long non-coding RNA from Polypterus senegalus (gray bichir), 565 nucleotides. RefSeq lists it as uncharacterized. Lineage: Eukaryota; Metazoa; Chordata; Cladistia; Polypteriformes; Polypteridae. The record is from RefSeq and is a predicted model, not a curated record. The transcript is spliced from 3 exons.